Molecule: ribosomal RNA, 253 nt
Filed under: uncultured bacterium
Lineage: Bacteria
Description: partial 16S ribosomal RNA
Rfam family: Bacterial small subunit ribosomal RNA
Source: RNAcentral
UACGGAGGGUGCAAGCAUUAAUCGGAUUUAUUGGGCGUAAAGGGCGCGUAGGCGGCCUGCUAAGUCGGAUGUGAAAUCCCUCGGCUCAACCGAGGAACUGCAUCCGAUACUGGCGGGCUUGAAUCCGGGAGAGGGAUGUGGAAUUCCAGGUGUAGCGGUGAAAUGCGUAGAUAUCUGGAGGAACACCCGUGGCGAAGGCGGCUCUCUGGUACGUGACUGACGCUGAGACGCGAAAGCGUGGGGAGCAAACAGG